AAGUCGUAACAAGGUUUCCGUAGGUGAACCUGCGGAAGGAUCAUUACCAUAUCCAAAAAACUAUACCAACCCACCGUGUGAACUGUUGUUUUUUCCUACACUUGGGGUGCCGCUGUACGGGAGGGGGUCUGCGUGGCACUGUGCAAACGGCGCUGCCUGCUCUCUUUUUUCGGCGAAGCCCCACCUGUGAGAAAAUUUUCCCCAAUCAACCCCUGGUCAAACCAAACCUUUACAACUCUGAAUUUUAUUUCUUUUUUUUUUUGGCCAGGCUGGCUGGGCGUUCUGAACGUUUCGGUCCUUCCUUGACAAUGAAAAAAACAAAUAACACAAAAACAAAACCAAUAGACAACUUAUGACGGUGGAUCUCUUGGCUCGU
This 376-nucleotide unclassified non-coding RNA is filed under the name fungal sp. RNAcentral's name for it is "partial internal transcribed spacer region". The stretch from base 1 to 46 matches the Rfam family "Eukaryotic small subunit ribosomal RNA", at positions 1786 to 1831 of the family's 1831-position model. The record is from RNAcentral. Lineage: Eukaryota; Fungi.